ACUGAGACACGGUCCAGACUCCUACGGGAGGCAGCAGUAGGGAGUAUUUGGCAAUGGGGGAAACCCUGACCGAGCAACGCCGCGUGUGCGAUGGAGUCCCUCAGGGACGUGAAGCACUGUGGGGGGCCGCCAAACGGGCGGGCAGGAAAUGGCCCGUCCCCGAGGAGCCCCCUAGAAAGCGACUGCUAACCACGUGCCAGCAGCAGCGGUAAUACGUGGGUCGCAAGCGUUAUCCGGAAUCAUUGGGCGUAAAGAGUGAGCAGGCGGUCCGGGAAGUCCGCGGUGAAAUGCGGGGGCUCAACCCCCGCAGGCCGCGGAUACUUCCGGUCUGGGGUGCGGGAGAGGCGGACGGAACUCCGCGUGUAGCGGUGAAAUGCACUGAUACGCGGAAGAACACCGGUGGCGAAGGCGGUCCGCCAGACCGAUACCGACGCUCAGUCACGAAAGCGUGGGGAGCAAAUAGGAUUAGAUACCCUAGUAGUCCACGCCGUAAACGAUGGGGGCCAGGGCGCGGGGUCGACCCGCGUCCGAAGCAAACGCAUUAAGCCCCCCGCCUGGGUACUACGUUCGCAAGAAUAAAACUUAAAGGAAUUGGCGGGUGCCCGCACAAGCAGUGGAGCAUGCGGUUCAAUUCGUGGCUACACGUAGAACCUUACCAGGGUUUGACAUGCCGGCAAAGGCCCCGGAGACGGGGAGAUAGCUAUGCCGGACAAAGGUGGUGCAUGGCUGUCGUCAGCUCGUGUCGUGAGAUGUUAGGUCAAGUCCUCCAACGAGCGCGACCCCCGCCGCCAGUUGCCAUCAUCGAGUUGGGCACUCUGGCGGGACCGCCGGCGACAAGCCGGAGGAAGGCGGGGAUGACGUCAAGUCAUCAUGCCCCUUAUGCCCUGGGCCACACGCGUGCUACAAUGGCCGGCACAGUGGGAAGCGACGCCGCGAGGCGGAGCGGAUCCCAAAAGCCGGUCCCAGUACGGACCGGGGGCUGCAACCCGCCCCCGCGAAGCUGGAAUUGCUAGUAAUCGCGGAUCAGCCAAGCCGCGGUGAAUGCGUUCUCGGGCAUUGCACACACUGCCCGUCACACCAUGAAAGCCUGCAACGCUCUAAGUCGCCAGCCCGACCCGCGAGGGGGGGCGGCGCCCAAGGCGGGGCCGGUGAUUGGGGUUAAGUCGAAACAAGGUAUCCCUACGAGAACGUGGGGAUG
Molecule: ribosomal RNA, 1198 nt
Filed under: human gut metagenome
Description: bacterial SSU rRNA
Rfam family: Bacterial small subunit ribosomal RNA
Source: RNAcentral